RNAcentral lists this ribosomal RNA (497 nucleotides) under uncultured bacterium. Its description in RNAcentral is "partial 16S ribosomal RNA". It matches the Rfam family "Bacterial small subunit ribosomal RNA", at positions 28 to 507 of the family's 1533-position model. The record is from RNAcentral.
GAUGAACGCUGGCGGCGUGCCUAAUACAUGCAAGUCGAGCGAACAGAUAAGGAGCUUGCUCCUUUGACGUUAUCGGCGGACGGGUGAUUAACACGUGGGUAACCUACCUAUAAGACUGGGAUAACUUCAGGAAACCGGAGCUAAUACCGGAUAACAUUUGGAACCGCAUGGUUCUAAAGUGAAAGAUGGUUUUGCUAUCACUUAUAGAUGGACCCGCCCCGUAUUAGCUAGUUGGUAAGGUAACGGCUUACCAAGGCAACGAUAGGUAGCCGACCUGAGCGGGUGAUCGGCCACACUGGAACAGAGGAACGGUCGAGACACCGAGGGGAGGAAGCAGUAGGGAAUCUUACGGAAUGGGGGAAAGCCGAACGGAGGAACGCGGCGUGAAGGAUGAAGGGUUUCGGCUGGUAGAACUCUGUUAGUAGGGAAGAACAAACGUGUAAGUAACUGUGAACGUAUUGACGGUACCUAAUCAGAAAGCCACGGCUAACUACGUG